RNAcentral lists this ribosomal RNA (504 nucleotides) under uncultured Archaeosporaceae. RNAcentral's name for it is "SSU rRNA". It matches the Rfam family "Eukaryotic small subunit ribosomal RNA", at positions 569 to 1078 of the family's 1831-position model. The record is from RNAcentral. Lineage: Eukaryota; Fungi; Glomeromycota; Glomeromycetes; Archaeosporales; Archaeosporaceae.
AGCAGCCGCGGUAAUUCCAGCUCCAAUAGCGUAUAUUAAAGUUGUUGCAGUUAAAAAGCUCGUAGUUGAAUUUUGGGUUUGGCCAAUUGGUCCGUUCUUGUAACGAGUACUGGUUGGUUGGGCCUCACCGCCUGGUGAUACGUAAUGUCCUUUAUUGGGUGUUGCGAGUAGCCAGGACCUUUACCUUGAAAAAAUUAGAGUGUUUAAGGCAGGCUUAUGCCGGAAUACAUUAGCAUGGAAUAAUAGAAUAGGACGAUGAUUCUAUUUUGUUGGUUUCUAGGAGCAUCGUAAUGAUUAAUAGGGAUAGUUGGGGGCAUUAGUAUUCAAUUGUCAGAGGUGAAAUUCUUGGAUUUAUUGAAGACUAACUACUGCGAAAGCAUUUGCCAAGGAUGUUUUCAUUAAUCAAGAACGAAAGUUAGGGGAUCGAAGACGAUCAGAUACCGUCGUAGUCUUAACCAUAAACUAUGCCGACUCGGGAUCGGGCGAUGUUGUUUCAAUGACUCG